RNAcentral lists this non-coding RNA (96 nucleotides) under bovine gut metagenome. RNAcentral's name for it is "THF riboswitch". It matches the Rfam family "THF (Tetrahydrofolate) riboswitch aptamer". Rfam says of the family: THF riboswitch presents a pseudoknot that joins P1-P2 and the loop of P3 and two THF binding. The record is from RNAcentral.
CAGAGUAGGUUUCACUGCGUAAAGUGCCGGGCGGACGGGGAGUUGCCGCGCGGACGAAGCGAAUUUUUCGCGCGGUGGUGAAGCCGCAUCCCGCUG